This 448-nucleotide ribosomal RNA is filed under the name uncultured bacterium. Its description in RNAcentral is "bacterial SSU rRNA". It matches the Rfam family "Bacterial small subunit ribosomal RNA", at positions 329 to 794 of the family's 1533-position model. The record is from RNAcentral.
AUCCAGACUCCUACGGGAGGCAGCAGUGGGGAAUAUUGCACAAUGGGGGAAACCCUGAUGCAGCGACGCCGCGUGAGUGAAGAAGUAUUUCGGUAUGUAAAGCUCUAUCAGCAGGGAAGAAAAUGACGGUACCUGACUAAGAAGCCCCGGCUAACUACGUGCCAGCAGCCGCGGUAAUACGUAGGGGGCAAGCGUUAUCCGGAUUUACUGGGUGUAAAGGGAGCGUAGACGGCAUGGCAAGUCAGAUGUGAAAGCCCGGGGCUCAACCCCGGGACUGCAUUUGAAACUGUCAGGCUGGAGUGCAGGAGAGGUAAGUGGAAUUCCUAGUGUAGCGGUGAAAUGCGUAGAUAUUAGGAGGAACACCAGUGGCGAAGGCGGCCUGCUGGACGAUGACUGACGUUGAGGCUCGAAAGCGCGGGGAGCAAACAGGAUUAGAUACCCGCGUAAC